GCGCCUCGGUGUACGUUAUAAGCCGCUUGGACUGGGCGGCUGCUCUCACGUCCACAAGAAAAAUUAUACCGUACACUGGGCUCUAGCCGCAAGACUCCGGCUAGUCUAGCGCCUCGGUGUACGUUAUAAGCCGCUUGGACUGGGCGGCUGCUCUCACGUCCACA
Molecule: long non-coding RNA, 164 nt
Organism: Homarus americanus (American lobster)
Lineage: Eukaryota; Metazoa; Arthropoda; Malacostraca; Decapoda; Nephropidae
Exons: 2
Source: RefSeq, a predicted model, not a curated record